Molecule: small nucleolar RNA, 128 nt
Filed under: Otolemur garnettii (small-eared galago)
Lineage: Eukaryota; Metazoa; Chordata; Mammalia; Primates; Galagidae
Description: Small nucleolar RNA U3
Rfam family: Small nucleolar RNA U3
About the family: Small nucleolar RNAs (snoRNAs) are involved in the processing and modification of rRNA in the nucleolus.
Source: Rfam by way of RNAcentral
AGGACUGUACUUUCAGGGAUCAUUUCUAUAGUUUGUUACUAGAGACAUUUCUCUGAAGGUGUAGAAGAAAAAAACAAACAAGAUGCAGCUAACUCCUGAUGUCCGGAAGUCUGGCUACUCGAAGUGUU